Molecule: ribosomal RNA, 468 nt
Filed under: Roseomonas sp. TERIPS13004
Lineage: Bacteria; Pseudomonadati; Pseudomonadota; Alphaproteobacteria; Acetobacterales; Roseomonadaceae
Description: partial 16S ribosomal RNA
Source: RNAcentral
AACGCUSGCGGCWGGCUUAACAAGSCWAGCUGAGCGGACGAAGGGAGUCGCUCUUCGGACCWGUGGGGAUGGGCGAGCAACGUUCAGGAACUCGUUCGGCAGCGGGGGACAAUGCUUGGAAAUGGGUGUCAACAUUGUACAUGCUUCGAGGGAGAAAGCGGGGGACUCCUGGAUUCUAUGUCACUAGACGAGUUCAGGCUGGACCAGUCAGCCGGCGGGGCAAAGGUUCAUUAAGGUGAUGACUUGCAAUCGGCUCGAGAGGACGACUAGCUAUAUCGGAAUCGAGAUAUGGCUUAGAUCUUCAUGGGAGGUAGUAGCGGGGAACACCGGAUAACGGGUGAAAGUUCGACUAGUUACGUUGUGCGCGCAAGAAGGCUCUGGACCGCAAAGUAUCCAAGCCGGAAGGAAGGGNACAAGCCAACAUUCCGUGCCCCAUKCCAUAAUAAACAAGAUUGGUAAUCCNCGUAA